AAAAGUUGUUUCGAUUAUUACAGGAUAACCAGUUUCUAUUAAGAAAAAGAAAUUUUAUUAAAGAAAGAAGGAAAUUUCUCUUUGUAAGUAUCCUACAAUAAGACCGUACCUAAACAACUAGAAUAAAAAAUGUAAAGACUGGAUUAUUUUUUAAUAUUAUGUUAUGCAUUUUUUUAAAAUGCUGAUCACAUUAAUUCAAAGAAAAAAUUUGAUUCAAGGAUAAACAUUUAACUUGUUUGUGAAGGUGUAACGUUCAUACAUUGAUGAGUUUAUCA
This 275-nucleotide unclassified non-coding RNA is filed under the name Hevea brasiliensis (rubber tree). The record is from RNAcentral. Lineage: Eukaryota; Viridiplantae; Streptophyta; Magnoliopsida; Malpighiales; Euphorbiaceae.